CUCACAGCCCCAGAGACUGAAGACCUCUAUCCACAGGAGAGGCACAGCAUCAUAGCUAGCUUCCACCACACCUGCCCCUGCCGGUGUGCCUCUCUCUUGGCCGCAGGGACCCCCUGUAGGCUUAGGGGAUAAUUUGAUCUCCAUGGCCCAUUCAGUCCUUGGCCUCU
This 167-nucleotide small RNA is filed under the name Chrysemys picta bellii (western painted turtle). Its description in RNAcentral is "TUC338 (ENSCPBG00000002915.1)". Lineage: Eukaryota; Metazoa; Chordata; Testudines; Emydidae. The record is from RNAcentral.